AUUUUGUAUGUACCAUAUGAAUAAGGAUCGGCUAACUCCGUGCCAGCAGCCGCGGUAAUACGGAGGAUCCGAGCGUUAUCCGGAUUUAUUGGGUUUAAAGGGAGCGUAGGUGGAUUGUUAAGUCAGUUGUGAAAGUUUGCGGCUCAACCGUAAAAUUGCAGUUGAAACUGGCAGUCUUGAGUACAGUAGAGGUGGGCGGAAUUCGUGGUGUAGCGGUGAAAUGCUUAGAUAUCACGAAGAACUCCGAUUGCGAAGGCAGCUCACUAGACUGUCACUGACACUGAUGCUCGAAAGUGUGGGUAUCAAACAGGAUUAGAUACCCUGGUAGUCCACACAGUAAACGAUGAAUACUCGCUGUUUGCGAUAUACAGUAAGCGGCCAAGCGAAAGCAUUAAGUAUUCCACCUGGGGAGUACGCCGGCAACGGUGAAACUCAAAGGAAUUGACGGGGGCCCGCACAAGCGGAGGAACAUGUGGUUUAAUUCGAUGAUACGCGAGGAACCUUACCCGGGCUUAAAUUGCAACAGAAUAUAUUGGAAACAGUAUAGCCGUAAGGCUGUUGUGAAGGUGCUGCAUGGUUGUCGUCAGCUCGUGCCGUGAGGUGUCGGCUUAAGUGCCAUAACGAGCGCAACCCUUAUCUUUAGUUACUAACAGGUCAUGCUGAGGACUCUAGAGAGACUGCCGUCGUAAGAUGUGAGGAAGGUGGGGAUGACGUCAAAUCAGCACGGCCCUUACGUCCGGGGCUACACACGUGUUACAAUGGGGGGUACAGAAGGCGGCUACCUGGUGACAGGAUGCUAAUCCCAAAAACCUCUCUCAGUUCGGAUCGAAGUCUGCAACCCGACUUCGUGAAGCUGGAUUCGCUAGUAAUCGCGCAUCAGCCAUGGCGCGGUGAAUACGUUCCCGGGCCUUGUACACACCGCCCGUCAAGCCAUGAAAGCCGGGGGUACCUGAAGUACGUAACCGCAAGGAGCGUCCUAGGGUAAAACUGGUAAUUGGGGCUAAGUCGUAACAAGGUAGCCGUACCGGAAGGUGCGGCUGGAACACCUCCUUUCU
Molecule: ribosomal RNA, 1055 nt
Filed under: Bacteroides ovatus
Lineage: Bacteria; Pseudomonadati; Bacteroidota; Bacteroidia; Bacteroidales; Bacteroidaceae
Description: bacterial SSU rRNA
Rfam family: Bacterial small subunit ribosomal RNA
Source: RNAcentral